AUUGAACGCUGGCGGAAUGCUUUACACAUGCAAGUCGAACGGCAGCACGGGGCAACCUGGUGGCGAGUGGCGAACGGGUGAGUAAUACAUCGGAACGUGCCCAAUCGUGGGGGAUAACGUAGCGAAAGUUACGCUAAUACCGCAUACGAUCUACGGAUGAAAGCGGGGGAUCGCAAGACCUCGCGCGAGUGGAGCGGCCGAUGUCAGAUUAGGUAGUUGGUGGGGUAAAGGCUCACCAAGCCAACGAUCUGUAGCUGGUCUGAGAGGACGACCAGCCACACUGGAACUGAGACACGGUCCAGACUCCUACGGGAGGCAGCAGUGGGGAAUUUUGGACAAUGGGCGCAAGCCUGAUCCAGCAAUGCCGCGUGCAGGAUGAAGGCCUUCGGGUUGUAAACUGCUUUUGUACGGAACGAAACGGUGAGCUCUAAUAAAGCUUGCUAAUGACGGUACCGUAAGAAUAAGCACCGGCUAACUACGUG
Molecule: ribosomal RNA, 482 nt
Filed under: uncultured bacterium
Lineage: Bacteria
Description: bacterial SSU rRNA
Rfam family: Bacterial small subunit ribosomal RNA
Source: RNAcentral